AGAGCGAACGCUGGCGGCAGGCCUAACACAUGCAAGUCGAGCGCCCCGCAAGGGGAGCGGCAGACGGGAGAGUAACACGUGGGAACGUACCCUUCAGUUCGGAACAACCCAGGGAAACUUGGGCUAAUACCGGAUACGUCCGUAAGGAGAAAGAUUUAUCGCUGAAGGAUCGGCCCGCGUCUGAUUAGCUAGUUGGUGGGGUAACGGCUCACCAAGGCGACGAUCAGUAGCUGGUCUGAGAGGAUGAUCAGCCUCACUGGGACUGAGACACGGCCCAGACUCCUACGGGAGGCAGCAGUGGGGAAUAUUGGACAAUGGGCGCAAGCCUGAUCCAGCCAUGCCGCGUGGGUGAUGAAGGCCCUAGGGUUGUAAAGCCCGUUUCGGCGGGGAAGAGUAAUGACGGUACCGCAGAAGAAGCCCGGCUAACUUCGUGCCAGCAGCCGC
This 444-nucleotide ribosomal RNA is filed under the name uncultured bacterium. Its description in RNAcentral is "SSU rRNA". It matches the Rfam family "Bacterial small subunit ribosomal RNA", at positions 26 to 518 of the family's 1533-position model. The record is from RNAcentral.